AGUGAACGCUGGCGGUAGGCCUAACACAUGCAAGUCGAACGGCAGCACAGUAAGAGCUUGCUCUUACGGGUGGCGAGUGGCGGACGGGUGAGGAAUACAUCGGAAUCUACUUUUUCGUGGGGGAUAACGUAGGGAAACUUACGCUAAUACCGCAUACGACCUACGGGUGAAAGCAGGGGAUCUUCGGACCUUGCGCGAUUGAAUGAGCCGAUGUCGGAUUAGCUAGUUGGCGGGGUAAAGGCCCACCAAGGCGACGAUCCGUAGCUGGUCUGAGAGGAUGAUCAGCCAUACUGGAACUGAGACACGGUCCAGACUCCUACGGGAGGCAGCAGUGGGGAAUAUUGGACAAUGGGCGCAAGCCUGAUCCAGCCAUACCGCGUGGGUGAAGAAGGCCUUCGGGUUGUAAAGCCCUUUUGUUGGGAAAGAAAAGCAGCAGGUUAAUACCCCGCUGUUCUGACGGUACCCAGAGAAUAAGCACCGGCUAACUUCGUG
RNAcentral lists this ribosomal RNA (492 nucleotides) under uncultured bacterium. RNAcentral describes it as "partial 16S ribosomal RNA". It matches the Rfam family "Bacterial small subunit ribosomal RNA", at positions 29 to 507 of the family's 1533-position model. The record is from RNAcentral.